RNAcentral lists this ribosomal RNA (203 nucleotides) under uncultured bacterium. RNAcentral describes it as "partial 16S ribosomal RNA". It matches the Rfam family "Bacterial small subunit ribosomal RNA", at positions 1300 to 1500 of the family's 1533-position model. The record is from RNAcentral.
GCAGUCUGCAACUCGACUACAUGAAGCUGGAAUCGCUAGUAAUCGCGAAUCAGAAUGUCGCGGUGAAUACGUUCCCGGGUCUUGUACACACCGCCCGUCACACCAUGGGAGUCAGUAACGCCCGAAGUCAGUGACCCAACCGGAACAGGAGGGAGCUGCCGAAGGUGGGACCGAUAACUGGGGUGAAGUCGUAACAAGGUACC